RNAcentral lists this ribosomal RNA (465 nucleotides) under uncultured bacterium. RNAcentral describes it as "partial 16S ribosomal RNA". It matches the Rfam family "Bacterial small subunit ribosomal RNA", at positions 28 to 507 of the family's 1533-position model. The record is from RNAcentral.
GACGAACGCUGGCGGCGUGCUUAACACAUGCAAGUCGAACGGAAAGGCCCCCUUGUGGGGUACUCGAGUGGCGAACGGGUGAGUAACACGUGAGUAACCUACCCUUGACUUUGGGAUAACUUCAGGAAACUGGGGCUAAUACCGGAUAGGAGCUCCUGCUGCAUGGUGGGGGUUGGAAAGGUUCGGCGGUUGGGGUUGGACUCGCGGCUUAUCAGCUUGUUGGUGGGGUAGUGGCUCACCAAGGCUUUGACGGGUAGCCGGCCUGAGAGGGUGACCGGCCACAUUGGGACUGAGAUACGGCCCAGACUCCUACGGGAGGCAGCAGUGGGGAAUAUUGCACAAUGGGCGGAAGCCUGAUGCAGCGACGCCGCGUGCGGGAUGACGGCCUUCGGGUUGUAAACCGCUUUCGCCUGUGACGAAGCGUGAGUGACGGUAAUGGGUAAAGAAGCACCGGCUAACUACGUG